This 250-nucleotide ribosomal RNA is filed under the name uncultured prokaryote. RNAcentral's name for it is "partial 16S ribosomal RNA". It matches the Rfam family "Bacterial small subunit ribosomal RNA", at positions 524 to 773 of the family's 1533-position model. The record is from RNAcentral.
UACGGAGGAUGCGAGCGUUAUCCGGAUUUAUUGGGUUUAAAGGGUGCGUAGGCGGAUUUUUAAGUCAGCGGUGAAACGCAAGGGCUCAACCCUUGACCUGCCGUUGAAACUGGAGGUCUUGAAUGCGGAUGCUGUGGGAGGAAUGUGUGGUGUAGCGGUGAAAUGCAUAGAUAUCACACAGAACGCCGAUUGCGAAGGCAUCUCACAAAUCCGUGAUUGACGCUGAGGCACGAAAGUGUGGGGAUCAAAC